ACAAAUACAUUAUUUUAUGGAAAAUUAUUUGAAAACUUCAACACCUUGAAAUUCUGCAUUGAGGGUAAUCACUUAAGAAAAAAACCCUUGCCAUCUUCUAAAAGAAAGUGUAUUUGCUUUUCAAGAGUAUAAUGGGUUUCAUUAGACUUGCAUUUUCCACCAGUAAUCAAGAUUUGGGGAUUGCUAUGUGAUUAUAGCUCUAAUCAAGGAAGAAUGCCAUAAUUAAAGAAUGAAGCUGGUGACAGGCAACGCUGCUCCUUCCUUCCCACUCCGAGCUGGCAAGGUGUGGAAUUUAAAGGAUUCUGUGGAAACAGGAUUUACAUCAUCACGGCAGAAGUAUAAACUGCCAAGUAUCUGAUGUUAGCUAGAGCAGAGCCACUUGUGGUAAAAGAAAUCUCAGUAAUUUAAAAUAAAAUGGCUCAGGCAGAAGUAUUCCUUCAGUGUGUCUACAUCUGUUGUGUUGCGGACACCUUUAAUUCUGUAAGAUUUAAGCAACAGCCUUUCAAUCAUGAGUGAGUAUUAAAUCAUGAGGGCACUUUUCAGAAAAAAAAGAAAGACUGUUAUUUUAAGCGCCAAAACAGUUCCCGGUAUAAAGUCAGCUUUAACAAAGGAGCGCCCCACCUCCAGAAACGUGCCUCAGAGCCACACCUGGGAGCCCUGCACUGAUGUCCCAUGUGGACUUCAUCACGGCUGGGUUUACCUAUCCAGUGGCCUUCAUGUGUCUUCGUUUCUUUGUUAGUUUGUUUUAACAUCAGGUUUUCUGCACAGUGUUCCGGAGAGCCCUGUUGCUAGAUAAGAGGCCUCUGGGUCAGUGGAGGGGCUUUGACAGCCACACCAGCAACUGUCCAGGGAUAGAGUGAGGAGGUGUCCAGAGAUAGCCAAAGCCUAUUGCAAGGAACGAAAUGAGUGAAGAUAAAAGGGACCAGAAUCGCUCAACAUGUGUCUGAAAUAAAUGAAGGGUAACUGAGUAAUGAUUUAAAAUUCUCUAAGAGAAAUGUGGCCAGCCAGUUCCGUUCACAGGGAGGGAAGGGAGAUGAAGACAGUGGGAGAGCUUUGAACCCAAUCCGACGUGAGGCUGUCCCAACAGAGGGAAGCUCAGAGUGGGCGGGGCAAUCACCCACAAAGCAGGGAGGUUUCAUCAUCCGGAGAUUUCAACGCAACACUAGGCAGAGCCACAUCUCAAGGGGACCUGUUGGGUUUGGUCUUCUCCAAGGGAAAAUUUGACACUAACGCUUUCAGCAAGCACAGCGCUGUGGUCUCAAGGCUCAUACUGUCUUAGAUGAAGAUCCUGCAGACGUAUUCUAAGUUACAUAGGACGUGCACCUGCCAGGACUGCUCAGCCUGCCGAGUUCACCACUCCAGGCCCAGCACUUUGCACAGAGCUUGACUCCAAAAACUCUAUUGAAUAAAUUAACAUGGGAACAUUUCAUUCUAGAAAUGAUCUAAAUAAUGAAGGAAGGUGAUCAUUCUCAAGGUAACCUAUUAAAAUUGUGUGUUUUUAAACUGUGGCACCCAUGGUUGAUAUUUUUUAAAGGCACUCCUCUACGUAAGAUACAUUUGGAAUUGUAAAAAUGCCAUAGACUCUUUCAGUGUACAUUAUAAUCUUUUCCAUUUCACAAAUACACUUACUUUAGUUAAUAUGUAUUGGAUCCAGAGAAAUAUUUAAGUUUAUGCCAGCUUUCCAGGGUUGAAAUGAAAACCAGCUUUUACAAAUACAGAUUGGUUUGCUUAACCACAUCCAGCUGUGACCGAGAAUCGACUAGAAUGAGAAUAGAUCAGAAAAAUUAAAAAACGUUUGUUCUGGAAAGUAACUACUGGUUUUAUGAAAAGCUUAUUAGAGCUUGUUAAAAAUGGAUUAUUAAUGAAUAUUUGCACUUUUAUAUUGCUUUCAGUUAACCAGUGUUGGUUGUUCUGGUAAUGAAUUGAAUUCAAUUAAAAUAUUUUUAUUACACAUACAUAUAACUCUUUAGAGUGUAUCAACUGGAAAGAUUAUAUGGAUAUUGUGUGCUUCUAAAGUUUUGAGGUCAUGCGACAUAUUAUAAUAAACAUGAAUUCGGUGCAGGAAUCUUGCCAAGUAUAUGACAAUACUUGGCAGGUUCAUUUCCAAACACUUGUACACCUGGAGUGACCCUAACCUGCAAACUCCAGAAGAAACACAUCCUUCCAGGUAGGAAGGAGUGCCUGGAGGAAGGAGCUUCUAGAGCCCAGGUCCAGCCGGCCGCCCCUCCUCUCAGCUCAGAUGGUCCCUGGGGGUCCACGUUUCCAAGGAGCAGCGUUGAGAACAGCCAGUUCUGAGGUCACCUUGCCCUUGCCUAGGCUGGACACCUGGA
Molecule: long non-coding RNA, 2330 nt
Filed under: Pan troglodytes (chimpanzee)
Lineage: Eukaryota; Metazoa; Chordata; Mammalia; Primates; Hominidae
Description: long non-coding RNA NONPTRT001993
Source: RNAcentral